CAUCAAUCGUCACAUUCGGACGAGACUCAUAAAUGAUUCCCAUCACGCCCAAAGGUACUCUCCUCUGCCCAAGCUCAAUACCGGAAGCCUGCUUUUGCAAUGCACUGAUCUUGCCGAUGGGAUCAGCCAAAGAAACAAUUUGCUCUAAACCUAAGGCCAUAGACUCAAUCGUCUUUGGAGUCAUGGUGAGGCGAUCAAUAAAUGCCGCAUCCUGACCAUUCGUUUUUGCUCGAGCAACAUCAAGUGCAU
This 249-nucleotide ribosomal RNA is filed under the name uncultured organism. RNAcentral describes it as "partial 16S ribosomal RNA". The record is from RNAcentral.